AAUAGAUGACGUCGUUGAUUUUUUAUCAUACGUUUGACCAUUCGUUUUAUUAAAAAAAUUUACGUAAUUAUAAUUUAUUUUGUUAUGAGUUGUUUUAUCACUCAAAGUACUUUAAGCAUAAUUUAUAUCUAUACGUUUACAUAAAAUUUUUUAAAUAAGACGAAUGGUCAAACAUAUGUUUAAAAGUCAACGGCGCCAUCUAUU
This 204-nucleotide microRNA precursor is filed under the name Oryza rufipogon (brownbeard rice). Its description in RNAcentral is "MIR812 microRNA precursor family". It matches the Rfam family "MIR812 microRNA precursor family". The record is from Rfam by way of RNAcentral. Lineage: Eukaryota; Viridiplantae; Streptophyta; Magnoliopsida; Poales; Poaceae.